This 373-nucleotide ribosomal RNA is filed under the name Pheronema sp. NIWA 126138. Its description in RNAcentral is "partial 28S ribosomal RNA". The stretch from base 60 to 373 matches the Rfam family "Eukaryotic large subunit ribosomal RNA", at positions 1534 to 1767 of the family's 3401-position model. Lineage: Eukaryota; Metazoa; Porifera; Hexactinellida; Amphidiscosida; Pheronematidae. The record is from RNAcentral.
AAGCCUGUGAGUUAGCGCGCAUUCGUGGCGCGUGCCUGCGAUUGCUUGAUGUGGCGCGCGUUUGCUGCUUCACGGUGGUGAGCGUGUGCCGCUGAGGGCGCGCAGGUUCGCCUGCGGCUUGAAAGAGUUGCGCGGUCUCCCGAAAGGGAAUCGGGUUAAUAUUCCCGAACCGAGCACUUGGAUGCUGCCGGCGUUGCCUGCUGGGCUUCGGUUCGGUUGCGCAGCAAAGGUAGAGAGCGGCAACGUAUACGACCUCGGAGACGCCUGCGAUAGACCUGGGAAGAGUUCUCUUUUCUUCUUGACCGUACCUACCGUGUGCUUGGCCCUGGAAGCAGUUUACCUUGAGAUAGGGCUGGAGGUCGGGCAAAGCGCC